Non-coding RNA from Mirounga angustirostris (Northern elephant seal), 73 nucleotides. The record is from the annotation of a RefSeq genome assembly. Lineage: Eukaryota; Metazoa; Chordata; Mammalia; Carnivora; Phocidae.
GCCCAACUGGCUCAGUGGGAAAAGCAUUGGACUUUUGAUCUCAAGGUUGUGAGUUCAAGCCUCAUGUUGGGUG